GAGAGAGAGCGAGCGAGCGAGAGAGAGCGCGAGAGCGAGAGAGAAGCUGCUAAAAGCUAUCUCCAAUUCAUCCUGAGUCCCCCGUGGCGAGGAACCUGGACCUGGCAGCGCACCUGAGGCUUCCGCGAGUCUCAGCUGACAAAGAUUCCAUGAGCAAACUUUAGUCAAGCUGACUCCACUGACUCCAUCACCCUGCCCACUGGCUAUAAACUCCCAGCGACUGUUAUAUACAAAGUUGAGGUUUUGGCGCUCACCCUGCAACAUAGUGAGCCCCACGGCAUCCCGGGAAAUGUAGUCCAGGACUUCGCCAACGGCGGGACGGACUCGGCCAAGGGUGGCCUCUAGGAACUGGAAAACCUAAGGAAAUUAAUUCUCACCUAAAGCGAUUCGUGGGGUCGCAAAGAGUCGGACUCAACUGAGUGACUGAAUUGAACUGAACUGAAAGCCUGCAGAAAGGAACACAGCCUUGCCAACACCUUGCUCUUUCUUAGCCAAGUGAGAACCAUGGCAGACUUCUAUCUAAC
Long non-coding RNA from Cervus elaphus (red deer), 524 nucleotides. RefSeq lists it as uncharacterized. The record is from RefSeq and is a predicted model, not a curated record. The transcript is spliced from 3 exons. NCBI's taxonomy places the organism in Eukaryota, Metazoa, Chordata, Mammalia, Artiodactyla, Cervidae.